This 680-nucleotide long non-coding RNA is filed under the name Phoenix dactylifera (date palm). RNAcentral's name for it is "long non-coding RNA (PDAC_LNC019449)". The record is from RNAcentral. Lineage: Eukaryota; Viridiplantae; Streptophyta; Magnoliopsida; Arecales; Arecaceae.
UUAACCACCGCGAGCAUCACGGCGGUGAACGAGCCACGGCCAAUUCGAAGAUCGCCUAUUAAAAAAAAAAGAAGAAAAAGAAAGAACCUCGAAAGGCUCACCAGGCCGGGACCCCCUCCCGUCACGGUUUCUCUUUCCCCAUCUUCCUUCAGGGUUAGGGUUUCCUGAACCCACGUCGGUGCCGCCGGAGAUGGUGCUCGCAGCUUCCCCGGAGCUAGGUAAGGCGCUGAUCAUGUUAUUUUUCCUGCUUUCCUCUCCCCUGUUUCUGAAAUGAAACAGCGGAGGGACUCCACGGCUCUCGGGCGGGGGCUGCAGUCGAGCCAGAGUCCCGUCCCCUUCUUUCUCUUCGGUGGGGCAAAGGGCCUCGGUGAAGGGAAGAAGGGAGACGGAAAGAAAAGAAGAAAAAGGAGCAAAGAAGGAAAGAUAUAAAGAAAGAGAGAGAAGAGGGGACUCACCCGCGUGCGGCCGCGAGUGUCGCCAGCGUCGCGAGGAGGGGCCACGGACGUCGUGGGAGCCGCCGGCCGUGGCCCGGCCCCUCCCGAGCUCGCCCUCCUCCCUUCGUGGGAGAAGAAAGAAGAAGAAAGAGGGGGAGGAGAAGAAGUCGGGAGAAGAGAAGAGGAGGAGAAGGAAAAAAAAAAGAAAGAAGAAAGAAAUGGGGAAGUUUCGGGAAGAAACAGAGA